This 447-nucleotide ribosomal RNA is filed under the name Enterococcus casseliflavus. RNAcentral's name for it is "bacterial SSU rRNA". It matches the Rfam family "Bacterial small subunit ribosomal RNA", at positions 28 to 455 of the family's 1533-position model. The record is from RNAcentral. Lineage: Bacteria; Bacillati; Bacillota; Bacilli; Lactobacillales; Enterococcaceae.
GACGAACGCUGGCGGCGUGCCUAAUACAUGCAAGUCGAACGCUUUUUCUUUCACCGGAGCUUGCUCCACCGAAAGAAAAAGAGUGGCGAACGGGUGAGUAACACGUGGGUAACCUGCCCAUCAGAAGGGGAUAACACUUGGAAACAGGUGCUAAUACCGUAUAACACUAUUUUCCGCAUGGAAGAAAGUUGAAAGGCGCUUUUGCGUCACUGAUGGAUGGACCCGCGGUGCAUUAGCUAGUUGGUGAGGUAACGGCUCACCAAGGCAACGAUGCAUAGCCGACCUGAGAGGGUGAUCGGCCACACUGGGACUGAGACACGGCCCAGACUCCUACGGGAGGCAGCAGUAGGGAAUCUUCGGCAAUGGACGAAAGUCUGACCGAGCAACGCCGCGUGAGUGAAGAAGGUUUUCGGAUCGUAAAACUCUGUUGUUAGAGAAGAACAAGGA